This is a long non-coding RNA of Mastomys coucha (southern multimammate mouse), 2351 nucleotides long. RefSeq lists it as uncharacterized. Lineage: Eukaryota; Metazoa; Chordata; Mammalia; Rodentia; Muridae. The transcript has 4 exons. The record is from RefSeq and is a predicted model, not a curated record.
UUGACUGAUUAUGGGAAUCAUCUGGACUCUUGCCUAAAAGUCUUGCUCUUGAUUUUGAUUUUUUAGGACAUUUAACUGAGGGUACGUGUAAAUCGUCGAAUCUAUCCAAGCAAUCCUAAAUAUUGAAACAAAACAUCAAAUCGUUGCGUUCCAGCCAAGCAUCAUCCUUACCUUUCGGAGACUACAGACAAUGUCAGUAGGUCGUCUUUCCCAAGAUUUCCUUAACUCGAUGGACUGUAGUUCAAGAAAGAUUUCAGAAGAUCAAGUUACAAUAUGUUUAAAACCAUAGGUGGGACAACUGUGGCUCUGCAAGCCAUGAAGAGACAUUUAGCACUUUUUUCUACUUAAGAGGGAAGAAGAUGAUGUGUGCAUAUUUAUUCAUACUUAGAUUGCAUUUGUGAUCAAAAUAGAAGCCUACCACCAUCUAAAGACCAUUUAAGCUAGAAGAUGAAAGACCAAAGGGCUAAUAAUAAGAAUGCCACGUGACCAUCAUUUUCUUGGUGACUUUUGUGCCUACUUUAUUGAUGUGACUUGUUUGUUUUUGAGUGUGUUAUAGAUAUUCAGAGAUGAGAAGCUCCUGCGACUUCACUUUUAAAAUUGUAGAGUUCUUCUUUUCAUGCUGAACAUGCUUCAUGUAAUGCUUGUUUAUGCCAGCCCCUCAUAUUACUUUAUAUGAAUUAUAUGAGAAUUACACAAUCAUUUGACAGUAUAAGACUUUAUGGAUUGAAACAUAUGCCUAAAUAUUUAUUCUUUGCUUUGAAAGUAAAAUACACUAUGUCUUCAUUUUGAAGAUGCUGAAUAUAAAACUCUCUUAAAAAAUAUUGGACCUAUCAACAUCUGUUAUGCAGGCAGGGAGACACCUAUGAGGCCCCACUCCAGAGGAGACAGGCAGUUCAUUGUCACUGGGAAUGAGGCAUUUUCUUCAGUGUAGUGACAGUAAGGUGCCUAUGCCCCUGUAAUAGCCUCUCACAGGUUCCUGUAAGGAACUGCAAUAAAACUCCUGGGCCACCAAGAAGUUUUUGCAGGCAUGAACAUAGAAGGGGGACUAGUAGGGCAAGGGGUCAUCAGGAGGAGGACAAGAGGUGACAGAGUGGAUAUGAUCAGAACACCUUACACAUGUGAAUAGGAAUAAAAUGGAUCCCACCUCUGUGUAUACUUAAUAUACGCUAAUAAAUAUUUUUUUAUUUUAAGUUGUUUUGUUUAUAAUAUACUAUACUACACCACACCACACCAAUUUCUCUUGUCAUUACCAAAUACUCUCUUUGUUGAGCAAAAUUAAAUUCCCAUCCCUCCCAACCUUUCAUGCAUCCUGACUAUUGGAGAAGGCUUUAGGACCAGUCAAUGCCAGUGUUUAAAUGGAAGUUAGCUGAGCCAUAUUGUCAACGUUUUAAUUUAUGAAGGGCUCAAAAACCAUGAAGGGCUCAAAAACCAUGAAGGUGUUAUUAAAAGAUGGCCACCUGGAUGAGCUGGGCGUGGAAAGGAGCGCAGCCAGUCCUUCCCAGUUCAGAUUUGUACUCCAGGCGUUGGUCUCAAAAUACAACAUUUCUUUUAACACACUGUCCACCUUGGUUCAUAAAAAAACUCCUUUUUCAACUUCAAAUUACUCCAAAGCUUAUUUUCCCAUAGAAUUCUGAGGAUUUUGUAACUUGCUUAUGAAGUUUAGCUGUUUAGGAAUUUGUUCUAGAACUCUGAAAUGUCUUCAAUUUAUAAACCUGUUGCCCUGGUGAUAGAUUCUUUCAAACUUCUAAGUCUGACGUAGGUGGUCUGCCUUAUAAGCUAUGCUUUGCAUUUCUCGUGGUUUCCUUUUAGUUUUAUGUGUGUGUAUAGAUUUAUCAUCCUCAAGAGAGACUUUAAGGAAUAUGUAGUCGCUGCACAGCUCUGACUGUCCAGACUGUUAGAAGAUGCCCAGGAAGCACCAGACCCACAGAAGGCCACCACUAAGAGAAGAUAAUACAAAGCGACAACAACAAAAGCAUAGGGGAAAAUAGACAGAUAUAUCCAUUGCAGCAGAUGUACAAAUUACAGUGUAGAAAAAACACACAAAAAGAAAGCAUGAAAAGCAAGUGCAUAACAUCCCAGUAGCUGGGAUUGUUGCUGAAAUGAUGAACAAGCAAUUUUUUAAAAAAAUCAAUUUUUAAAAAUGACCAAUUACUUCAAAAGAGACUUAAACAGAUGAAUGAAGUAUUAUCAUCCAAGGAUGAGGACAGCACUGGUUUUGAGAGCUUGGAGCCCAAGACCAGUGGUAGAAUAGCCCCUGAAACAACUUACCUGUUAUUCACUGAUGAAGAGCCCAAGAACUGAAGUUCCAGCAUGUACUUGAUAUCCACACUGCAUUAUAAGUCAUGGUUAUU